GCCCUCCCUUUUCUCCUCGACGAAGUUAUGGCGGCUUCCAAGACUCAGGGGGUUGCUGCCGGAAUGGAGGGAGAAAGUGGCAGAAGCCGUAGCGGGGUGGAGGGUGUUGCUUAUGAAGGUGACAAACCACUGCCUGUCCCAGCUGAAGGAUGCCCACAGGUCUCACUCCUUCUUCAAGAAGUGUCAAGCCAUAGUGAGCAUAUGCACAGUGGCCUGUUCCCUUGCCCCCGGGUCCAUAGAGAAGACAGUAAGGAUUGUAUCCUGGAGCCACUUUCCCUGCCAGAAAGUCCAGGUGGCACCACCACUUCAGUAGAUUCUCCAUCUGUGCCUUGUAUUUUCUGUGAAGAACAUUUUCCUGUGGCUGAACAAGACAAACUUCUGAAGCACAUGAUUAUUGAGCAUAAGAUUGUCAUUGCUGAUGUUAAGUUGGUUGCUGACUUCCAGAGAUACAUUUUAUAUUGGAGAAAAAGGUUCAGUGAACAGCCCGUCACAGAUUUUUGUAGUGUGAUAAGAAUUAAUUCCACAGCUCCAUUUGAAGAACAAGACAAUUAUUUUUUGUUAUGUGAUGUUUUACCAGAAGAUAGAAUUCUUAGGGAAGAGCUUCAGAAACAGAGACUGAAAGAAAUUCUGGAACAACAGCAGCAAGAACGAAAUGAUACCAGUUUUCAUGGCAUUUGUAUGUUUUGUAGUGAGGAAUUCCUCGGAAACAGAUCUGUUCUUUUGAACCACAUGGCCAGAGAACAUGCUUUCAACAUCGGAUUGCCUGACAACAUUGUAAACUGCAAUGAAUUUCUGUGUACCUUACAGAAGAAACUUGACAAUUUGCAGUGCCUGUACUGUGAGAAGACCUUCAGAGAUAAAAACACACUCAAAGAUCACAUGAGAAAAAAACAGCAUCGUAGAAUCAAUCCAAAGAACAAAGAAUAUGACCGAUUUUAUGUCAUUAAUUAUUUGGAACUGGGAAAAUCAUGGGAAGAAGUUCAAUUGGAAGAUGACCAGGAGCUGCUCGAUCAUCAGGAAGAUGACUGGUCUGAUUGGGAAGAACAUCCUGCCUCUGCUGUCUGUCUCUUUUGUGAAAAGCAAGCAGAAACAAUUGAGAAACUAUAUGUUCACAUGGAGGAUGCACAUGAAUUUGAUCUCCCCAAAAUAAAGUCAGAACUUGGAUUAAAUUUCUAUCAACAAGUGAAACUGGUCAAUUUUAUUCGGAGGCAGAUUCACCAAGGUAGAUGUUAUGGCUGCUGUGUGAAGUUCAGUUCCAAAGCAGAUUUAAGGUUUCACAUGGAAGAAAAUAAACACACUUCAUUACUUCCUGAAAGAAAGAUAUGGGAUCAACUGGAGUACUAUUUUCCAACCUACGAAAAUGACACACUCUUGUGUACACUGUCUGACAGUGAAAGUGACCUGACAGCUCAGGAACAUAAUGAACAUGUCCCCAUCAUCAGUGAAGACACAUCUAAACUGCAGGCUUUGAAACAAAGCAGUAUUUUGAACCAGUUGCUACUUCAAGAGUCCUUGAAAAACUAGAAGAAACUGAAGAAGUGACUUCUCAUGAUUUUCUGAGCUAGACACAGAAGAACAGUUUAAAUCUUAGUAUCAGCAAAGGAUUAGUCCUUAGUGAAUAAAACUGUGUAAGAAGCCACAAAAGAAAAGAAAACUGGUUAAAGAUCUGGAUACAAAUUGAACACUAUUUUCACACAAGAACCAGCCAACCUGGCAUGGUAGUGCAUGACUGUGAUCCCAGCAUUUGGGAGGCUGAGGCAGGAGGUUUGCUGCGAGUUGAGGACCAGACUUGGCUACAAGAGAAUCCUAAUACAAGGAUACACUAAUGAAGGUGAGAACGACAUUGUACUCAGAUUGUUGUCCUGUGAAGAUGGUUGACUUUGAGCUUAAUACUGGAGCACACUGAGCAAAGAGCAAAAAUGAGCAACAAUGUUUCGAAAGGACACGCCUCGUUUCCCAACAUCUUGUUUCCAUGGCAAAGGGAAAUAUAUAGCACAUUUGGUUUCUCUCUGCUGGAAGGGAGAUGGAUGAAUUCUCUGACUGAAAAUUGAGAAACCAGGAACUAGGCCUCCGUGCCUCAGCUUCUUCCUCAUUCUCUUUGGGGGCUGCCUGUGUGCGGGGUGAACACACCCCUUUCUGCUCCUUUAUUCUGCAAGUUGUAAAGCUGCAGGCUUUGUCCACAAGUUGAAAGCCAGAAGUUGCCCAGCACUAUCUGUCACUGCCUAAAAGUUCAUUUGCCCACAGCUGCAAGCCAUUGUCUCCAAUGUCAUCUUCAUUAGCAAUAAAGGUAGUAUCUCAUCUCUCCUUGACCAUUUAUCUGUUAGCCCACCUAGAAGGUAUCCAGCCAAUCAAGGAAGGACUAUAUGGCAAAGAUUGCUAGAAAAUCAGUGCUUAGGUAUAACCACUGCACAUACUGUCCAGUCAGUCAAGAAGUAAAUUAGAUUUCACUCCCUGUGACACUAAGAUUAGGCAAUAUAGGCAGAGGAACAAUGGCCAGAAUAUCACUAGUGAACUAGCUGGAUUCAGAACUGGAGUCUUACAUUGAGUUCCACCAGAAGCAGACCUUAUAACAAGAAUUACAGCAUAGUUCAUUUACUUAGGAGGUAAACUAAGAAAUACCAGUUCACUGAAAAGGUAAAAUGGAAUACACAAUAAUGAAGUUACCCAUGUCUGAGCUAGGACUCAACCUUACAGCAGUUGUCAAAAAAACUGCACAGAGCACUUUGUAAGUUGCCUGCCCUGCUCCCAACCCACUACCAAAAAGCUAGGAUUUGUAUUUAUCCACCAGCUUCACUGGUCACAGGAUGAGGGCUAUUCUCAUGAGUAUCAAUUUCUGCCAUAUGCAGUCUGUCUUGCACAUUGGCCUAGCAAGCCUGGAGCCUCAAGAAGGCCCUCAUAAAUAGUGAGGAAACUGUAGUGCAAAAACAAUAAAUGUGGUCCGGGAAUGACACUACUACAACUCUAGCUGUGUGGCCACAAAAGUUUAGUGACUCAUCUUUUUCAUUUAUUCCCUCACUUGACACUAUAAACACAAUAUUUCGAGGUAUCUAGGCAGGAAUUUUUAUUCCCAUCAGGAUAAAAAGGAUAAGAAAACCAAAGGGGGUAGGGCAGGGGUGGAAAGCACAAAGAAAUAUCCACAAAUAAUAAUGAGAAUUUACAGUGAGACAAAGCCAAGCCCUGAACUUUUUAAGUGAAUGGACUAAAAGCAAUUUUUUGAACAGAUGAAGAAUUUGAAAUCAGAUUAAGAAUGAAUCUUUUAAUGUAAGAGCUUUGUGGAAUAAAUAUGCAGAAUUUGCACACCCAGGCCACUUCUCCCAAGGCAUCAAAUUACAGCUAUUGUUUGCUGAGUCUGCAAAAAUAGCCACCUAAUAUCCCAGAAGCUUAAUAGCAACUCUUUCAGUAGCUUUAGAUGAUGGAUAACUAGAAGAUUAAACCAGGGGCAGCAGUUGAACUCUUUUGCCUGUAAUUGGUAUUUUGAAAAGCUAAACAUGCUCAAUUUCUGAUCAUAGCAAUUUGCUAGAUUGAAUGGCAUAGCAAGACUGUUAAUUCAAACUGAAAACGUUCCACAGUAGUUUCACAGUGUUCUAAGAAUCAAGUGAGCUAUUUCCUUUUGGAUUAUAAAAUUAGACUAGAGAACAUGGCAGAUAGAUAGCAGCAGCUAUAGAGGCUCUCUGAGAUACUCCACUUAGAAUCCAAGAAUGGUGCAGUGCAAGGAUUCCUAAGCAAGGGGAGAUAUACCCUGCCGACCCAGGAACAAACUAAGUUGAGAGAAACCAACUGGAAAUGCAAGUCUGAUGCUAUAACUGGAACAGAUAAAAUCUCAGCACGGAAGCUAGAACCCACGCCACUGCUGCAAUUUGAAUUUCCUGCUGCCGCUGCUGCGUCCAAAUCAGCACGGCAGGGAGAGAGACAUGCAAAAACUCUGAGAGUGGGAAUCGGCAAACGGAGCUGAGAGCGGAACUGGCAGGCAGCUCUGCAUCAACUGCAGUGAGUGAGCGGAACGGGGACCCUUCCAUAGAGUAAGAGGCUUCAGCAAAGGACAUACUGGGACUGGGCAGACUUGCCGGAACAAGACGCUGCAGUGACUUUAGUCGCAUAUUCCCCUCUCAAGCAGGAUUGGUGGGGAGUGUCUGGCCUGAUGAUGCCACUAAAACCCAGUAGGCUAGCCCAAACCAGGUCCCAGUGCCUGGAGGAGCACCCUAGCAGUGAAGCCUUCAGGAGGUUGACCUGGAGGGGUGGGCCCAGCAAGGCUGCCCAGGUCUGUGUCUCCCUAGUACACCGCAGUGGGCGGGAACAGCUAGCCAGCACAAUUCAACUGUAACAGACAAAGAGAAAAAAAAAAAAAAAAAACUGGGCCUCCUAUAUUUGCUUGUAUGGAAGGAACAAAAAGUAGGGGAAGACAAAGCAACAAGAAAGGGUCGUCAGUCCCCAAUCCUGAGAACACUGAUCAGGAAAGGUGAAUGCAAAGGAGAAUGAGGACAAAAAACAUACAGUAUCAGACACGGCACCAAUAGACAUAAACCAAUAUCUCUGGAGCCUCAUAGAUGAGUUCAAAAGAGAAGUAUUUAACAAAAUAAAGAUAUAAGUAGAGUAGUUAGAGAAAUGCUAAGCACUGCCCAAGAAAAAACAGAUGGUGGAAUGGAAGAACAGAAAAAAAGGGGAGAAUUGUUUGAUGGAGAAAAUAGAGAAAACAUAGAAUACAUGAAGCAGGUUCAAAGAGAUUACCAGGAAACUAAAAACUAUCGAAAGCUGGCAUAACCGCUUGAAAGAAACUAAAGAUAGAUUAUCUGAAUUGGAGGGCAGAUUUGAAACAUGGGAACGUGAAAUGAAAAACUUCUUAAAAAUAACAAAGAAACAAACAGCAAUAAUACAAAGGCUAGAAGAUGAUAGGAGGAUCUAUAACUUAAGAAUUAAGAACAUGAAAGAAGAAGUAGGGACACAAACAAAUGGACUACAAAAGCUAUUCACAGAAAUAAUCCAAGAGAAUUUCCCUAAUUUAGCAAAAGGUAAAGAUACUCAGAUGUAUGAGGCAUACCGGACCCCAGCCGCCUACCACCCAAACAGAGCUAUACCCAGGCAUAUAAUAAUCAAAUUUCCAGAAAUUCAAUAUAAGAAUAUUAAAAGCCAUCAGAGACAAGAAACAGAUCACUUACAAGGGAACACCCAUCAGAAUUACAGCAGACUUCUUGGCACAAACCAUCAAAUCAUGAAGAGCGUGGGAGGAAAUAAUUCAAGCUUUGAAAGAUAAUAACCUCCAGCCAAGAUUGAUAUAUCCUGCACAACUGUCCCCGGGAAUUGAUGGAAAAACAAGGUGCUUCCAGGAUAAAGAGGAACUAGGGGAAUUUGCAACCACCAAUUCAACUCUACAGAGAAUAUUGCAGGAUAUUCUAAAAAAGGAAAAUACUAAGAUUCCAGAAACAGUAGCAGAGAGGCCACAAUGAAUGGAGCAAAAAGCAAAAUGAAGAAGACAAACUGACAACAAGCGACAGAAAAAGAUCUCAACAGAAAUGAGGCAGAAAAGAUUGGAUGGUAGGAACAGCUAUUUUGGACAAAACAAGACAUUAUAAUAGCUAGUGCUGAUUUAGUAUCAUCUUGUUUUGAAGUCCCAUCAAGCUUUUAUUCUUCUGUCUCCAUGGGUCUUAACAGGUUGUAUCUUAUUGGAUUUUAUUAUAUGUGAUAAUAUAAGCAAAAAUGUUUAUAGACAAGGAGAUUAUACAGAAACCAUUGUUCAUUUUCUGAUAGUUCUAAAUACCCUGUAAUACUGUCAUUCUCUUGAAUGGUUUUACAUUGUCUUGAUAUGUUUGGUGCUACAGUAUACAAAGUUAUACUCAAAGAUUUCAAGGAAAGAGACACUAUGGUAACUACUUUUAUGCCAGGAUAUCUUGUGGUGAAACACUAUUUUGCUUAUGUUUUGACCUGUGCUGUUUUGUUGUUAUGCCCUCUUGCUUAUGUUUUGACCUGUGCUGUUUUGUUGUUAUGCCCUCUUUUAUCUCAAUCUCCUUUUUUAAUUAUUUAUUAAUUAUUAUUUAUUUUUAUCUUUUUAAUUAAGGGAAAAAUAAAAAAUAGGAUACAUUAUACUAACCCACUUUGAUUUCCUAUUAACUUCAUUUGAAACCUUGUAUUGCCCCCGCCAUCUUGUUUUGACUGAUUUUCCCCUAUUCUGCUUUGCUUGAUAGUACCAAGUUCAAAAGUAUAGGCAACAACUGUGAAGACAAUAAGAUUCAUUAUGAUGCCCAUUCUGGUUGACUAUUAUCUUCUUUUAAAGUCCUGUAAUGUCUUCAAUGUUUUGGUUUUAUUGUUUACUGUUUUGUUCAAUUUUAUUAUAACUAAUGAUAUAGGCAAUUCUUUUUAAGAUAGCAAGAGGCAGUAUGGUAACCAUUGUUGAUCACCUAGUAUUUUGUUUUUCCAUUACCUAUUAUGUCCAUCCUUUUGAUUUGACUGACUCUGUUCUGUUAUGUCACAUUUAGUUUUACUCUCUUCAAUAAAAAGUGGUAAGAACUGUGGGAGUAAUAAAACCCAAAAUGUGUAAUUGUCAUUGUACAAAAGAAAGUGCUCUGAAGGAUAUAACUGCAUAUAUAUUUAAGUGUGUAAGAUAGAUAACCAUAUUACUGAGUUUUGUUGGAUCAUUGAACAGAACUGUUUGCAGUCUCACUCUUUGACGGUCCACUUUAUAUGCUUUAAUUUUGUAACUUGAACAACUAUUUCUAAGAUAACAAUAUGUAAUCUAUUAACUAGUGAUUUUCUACUGUUUAUUCUUUCUGAAAUUCUGUAUAACUUUUACCCUUUUUCUGUUUUUUCUUUUUCUCCUUAAAUAAAAUUUUAAAAAAUAAAAUAAAAUUAGACUACCAAAAAAA
RNA transcript from Cavia porcellus (domestic guinea pig), 6854 nucleotides. It is a transcript of the gene named zinc finger protein 277, with no coding region annotated. Lineage: Eukaryota; Metazoa; Chordata; Mammalia; Rodentia; Caviidae. The record is from RefSeq and is a predicted model, not a curated record. The transcript has 14 exons.